GACGAACGCUGGCGGCGUGCUUAACACAUGCAAGUCGAACGGAAAGGCCCUGCUUUUGUGGGGUGCUCGAGUGGCGAACGGGUGAGUAACACGUGAGUAACCUGCCCUUGACUUUGGGAUAACUUCAGGAAACUGGGGCUAAUACCGGAUAGGAGCUCCUGCUGCAUGGUGGGGGUUGGAAAGUUUCGGCGGUUGGGGAUGGACUCGCGGCUUAUCGGCUUGUUGGUGGGGUAGUGGCUUACCAAGGCUUUGACGGGUAGCCGGCCUGAGAGGGUGACCGGCCACAUUGGGACUGAGAUACGGCCCAGACUCCUACGGGAGGCAACAGUGGGGAAUAUUGCACAAUGGGCGGAAGCCUGAUGCAGCAACGCCGCGUGCGGGAUGACGGCCUUCGGGUUGUAAACCGCUUUCGCCUGUGACGAAGCGUGAGUGACGGUAAUGGGUAAAGAAGCACCGGCUAACUACGU
This 467-nucleotide ribosomal RNA is filed under the name uncultured bacterium. Its description in RNAcentral is "partial 16S ribosomal RNA". It matches the Rfam family "Bacterial small subunit ribosomal RNA", at positions 28 to 506 of the family's 1533-position model. The record is from RNAcentral.